CCUAAUUUCCUGAUCCUCAACACCCUCCACCACAUCCUGACCCUUCAUGUAUCAUGUAUGUCUUUUCUGUUCCUCAUACAGGGUUCAGAUGACUGCAGGUCUGAGGCACGGGCUCCCUCCACUAUGACGGUGGCUUGGCAUUCGGGACACCAGCUUCAGAUGGUGGCAGAGCUCUGGAGGCUGAGGAAAGGAGCCGAGGCCCAACAGGAAAGAAAGUUACCUACAGAAGCUUAUAGUCUCUUACGGAAACCUGUUGUUGCCAUCGAUGCCCCCCGUACCUUUCACCACUCAGAUCACUCAUGUCAACUCACCCCAUCUUGUCACUGUUGCCAGACGACAUUCGGGAAGAAUCCAUAACCCUGCCAUAGAGUAAAAAACAGUCCUUUCAGAAAACGUUAUCUGGUUAUAUUAUCCAAAAUCAAGACUUUUCACCUCAAAACUGGCUUGGAGAAAUCAUGGGUUCCUAUCAAGACGCCAAAUGGUACGGCAUGUUGCAUCCUCCUCCCAAAACUUCAGAAGUCCUAAGGAACUAUGCACCCCA
This 541-nucleotide long non-coding RNA is filed under the name Equus caballus (horse). RNAcentral describes it as "lncRNA (ENSECAG00000056073.1)". Lineage: Eukaryota; Metazoa; Chordata; Mammalia; Perissodactyla; Equidae. The record is from RNAcentral.